RNAcentral lists this ribosomal RNA (370 nucleotides) under uncultured bacterium. Its description in RNAcentral is "bacterial SSU rRNA". It matches the Rfam family "Bacterial small subunit ribosomal RNA", at positions 29 to 426 of the family's 1533-position model. The record is from RNAcentral.
AACGAACGCUGGCGGCAUGCCUAACACAUGCAAGUCGAACGAGACCUUCGGGUCUAGUGGCGCACGGGUGCGUAACGCGUGGGAACCUGCCUUUAGGUUCGGAAUAACUCAGAGAAAUUUGAGCUAAUACCGGAUAAAUGUCUUCGGACCAAAGAUUUAUCGCCUUUAGAUGGGCCCGCGUUGGAUUAGCUAGUUGGUGGGGUAAAGGCCUACCAAGGCGACGAUCCAUAGCUGGUCUGAGAGGAUGAUCAGCCACACUGGGACUGAGACACGGCCCAGACUCCUACGGAGGCAGCAGUGGGGAAUAUUGGACAAUGGGCGAAAGCCUGAUCCAGCAAUGCCGCGUGAGUGAUGAAGGCCUUCGGGUUGU